Molecule: long non-coding RNA, 9688 nt
Filed under: Homo sapiens (human)
Lineage: Eukaryota; Metazoa; Chordata; Mammalia; Primates; Hominidae
Description: HSALNT0167632
Source: RNAcentral
GUUUCUCUCUAGAUACUUUUCUAGCCACUUAUUUACAUGUAUGUGCACACCUGCAUGGUUCAGUUUUGUUUUCUUCUGCUAAAAUGGGAUCAUACCACCUGUAUUACUGUGUGAUUCAUUUAAUAUUUCUAGGCAAUCUUUUAAUGUCAGUACACAUAGAUUUACCUCAUUCAUUUUCAGCCGUUCCACAGAAUUCCACAAGACAGACAUGAUUUACUUAACCACUCACCAUCUAAUGAAUAUUGUUUCCUAAUUUGUCAUCAUCACAAAUAAUGCUGCUGCUCUAAGGAACACUCUUAUAUAUGUAAAUAAGCAUUUACAGAGUUUAUAAAAAUUGGCCAGGUGUGGUGGCUCACACCUGUAAUGCCAACAUUUUGGAAGGCAAAGACAAGUGGGUCACUUGAGCCCAGGAGUUCGACACCAGCCUGGGCAACAGAGGGAGACCCUGUCUCUACAAAAGUUAAAAAGAAAACUAGCUAGGCAUGGUGGCACAUGCCUGUAGUCCCAGCUACUCAGGAGACUGAGUUGGGAGGCUCCCUUGAGCUCAGGAGUUCAAGGUUGCAGUGAGGCGUGAUUGCACCCUGCAUUCCAGCCUGGGCAACAGAGUAAAACCCUGUCUCAAAAUAAAAUGGCAGGGGGUGUGGGGAAUAUUUACAUCAUAAUAGUAACCAAGUUUCAACUACAUAAAAUAUACAUAGCAGAAAAGGACAGAAAACAAAAACAAAAAAGUCCCCAAGAUAAUAACAGUGGUUGUUUCUGGGUAGUGGGAUUAUAAUUUUUUUUCCUUAGUUUCUAUGUUUUCCUGUAUUUUCCAAAUUCUCUCUAAUGAACAAGUAUUACUUUAUAAUUGGAGAAGAGUAAAAUUAAUUUUUAAAUAAUAAGAAUAAUUAUUAUUCUAUUAUUUAUGUGAUGGGAAAGGGUAUAUCAGAAAGCUAUUGAAAGAAGUACAGCAAAUAUUAGCAGCUGUCAGAAUUGGAUGAUGAAGGAAGUAACCCAACUAGCAACAGCACUAAUACACUUAACGAGGCAUCCUGAGUCAGGGAUAAUCAGUUCCCAAGUGUGAAAGAAUGGUGGUUACAACUAAAAUGGCAUGUUAGUAAACAUGCUAAAUCAGCUAGCAAAUCCAAGAGAAAUAACAACGUAUAUUCAUGCAAAAACCUGCAUGGUGUUCACAGCAACAUUAUCCAUAUUAGUUCCAAGAGUGGAACCUUCCCAGAUGUGGAUAAACAAAAUGUGCGUAUUCACACAUGGAAUAUUAUUUAGCCAUAAAAAAGAAUGAAGGAUGAACCUUAAGAACAUUAUGGUAUGUGAAAAUAGCUCAUGAAAUGCUACAUGUUGUAUGAUUCCACUUAUAUGAAGUGUCUAGAAUAAGUCAAUCCAUAGAGACAGAAAGCAGAUCAGUGGCUGCGUACAGCCACAGGGAUUGAGAAGAAAUGGAAAAUGACAGCUUACAAGUGAGCAGUUUUUCUGGGGGAUGAUAAAAAAAACGCUCUGAAAUUAAAUACUGGUGAUAGUUGCACAACUCACUUAAUAUACUAAAAGCCAGUGAAUUGUACACUGGAAAAGGGUGAAUUUUGUGGCAUAUGAAUUAUAUCUCAAUAACUUAUUAAAAAUAGCUAGUAAUAAUGAAUUUAGUUUAUAGACAUGUUAACUUAGAUGAUAAAAAAUUUAGCUUGUAGUCUACUAUAUAUAAAAGGAUACAGAAAAUUGUUUUCAGUGACGAAUUAACCAGGUAUAAACUUUCUUUUCUUCCUAUCCUGGUGAUAUCAAAGGAGAAACAAUUAAACAAUAUAUAAAUAAUUUCAUCACUGGAAAUUAAUAAAAAUUAAGAAAGAGCAAAAGCAAAACUAAACCAAGACAAUAUAAUCUAACUUGAAUAAAUGUCUUUUUUGAUGAGAAGAAAGAACAGUUUAAAAAUUAAGAUUACCAGGUGCAGUGGCUCAUGCCUGUAAUCAUAGCACUUUGGGAGGCUGAAGUGGGAGAAUCACUUGAGCCUAGGAGUUCAAGACCAGCCUGAGCAACAUAGUGAGACCUCGUCUCCACAAAAAAUUAAAACAAAUAAAAACAAAAACAAAACAGUUGGGCAUGGUGGCCUGAACCUGUGGUCCCAGCUACUCAGGAGGUUGAGGUGAGAGAAUCACUUGAGCCCAGGAGGCUGAGGCUGCAGUGAGCCGUGAUUGUGUCACUGCACUCCAAUGUGGGUGACAGAGUGCGACCCUGACUCAAAAAAAUAAUUAUAAUAAUAAUUAAGAUAACGGAGGCAGGCUCGGUGGCUUCAGCCUGUAAUCCCAGCUACUCGGGAGGCUGAGGUGGAAGUACUGCUUGAGCCCAGGAGCUCAAGACGACAGUGAGCCAUGACUGUGCCACUGCACUCCAACCUGGGCAAUAGAGAGAGACCCCAAUCUCUAAAAGAGGAAAAGAAAAUAAAAUAAUUAAAAAAUUAAGAUUAUGGGCAAAAUUUAGAAUCAAUAAAGUAUUUAACUACAGAUGCUCCUGGGUGAUGCACACAUAAUUUAUGCAAAUUCCACCUCAUGCAAACUGCUACACAUAAGGCACAUGAUCAAGUUUGGCAAUGCGGGAAACUCUGCGUGGAAAUGCAAAGUGAAGCACCCCAAGGCAGGUGGUUGAAUGACAAGAAGCAAAACCAUAAAGUGCCCUGUGGCCACGGGCAGACGAAGGCUUCAGUUGCUGGGCCAUGUCUCAUCCCUCAGGGCUAUUUCAGCAUUAUUUAUGUUAUCCCCUCCCCGCUCUCUUUUAUGGAGCUCUGAUGAUGACGAAGAAAGGACCAAGCAAUAGUCAGAGUGCAGAACCAAUUCAGAAGCCACGAACACUUUCUAGAUUUAAAGCAAAACUCCAAAGCCUCAAGGAAAUCUGACCAAAUCCACCUUUCACUGCACUUGGACUUGAUUUGACUACUUCCAUAAUGAAAAUAUUUUUGGAAGGCACAGAUAAAAAGUGACACCAAGAGGUCCUGCCACAUUCAAAUCCACAAAGAUCAAAUGAAGCCUGGCUCAAGUCCCAUUCUGAAAUGGGAAAGUCAAUACCUGAAAAAGAAUAAAACUAAAAAAUGUGUGCUGCUUAGAGUAAUGAUUCAGUAAGGGCUAGAAAAUCUGCUUGAAGACAUAAAGUGCAGCAAGACAAGACAAGUGUCAUAGUUUUAAAACUCAUGCCAAUGUUCAGAACAGGAAAGCCAGUGAGCAGGCUGCUAGUUUGAUAAUAAAAGUGGCAGUAAUAUAUCUCAAAGAAUUGUAAAAGAUAUUAGAGAAAAAUGUGGUUAUAUAACAAGCACAAUAAAUCUUUGAUUUUGAUGGAACUUAAUUUUUUUUUUCUUGGAGACAAAGUCUCACUCUGUCACCCAGGCUGGAGUACAGUGGCAUGAUCAUAGCUCACUGCAGCCUUGACCUCCUGGACUCAAGUGAUCCUCCCACCUCAGCCUCCCAAGUAGCAGGGACCACGGGUAUGCAUCACCACAUCCAACUAAUUUUUGUAUUUUUUGUAGAGAUAAGGUUUUGCCAUGUUGUACAGUCUUGUCUCGGACUCCUGGAUUAAAAUGAUCUGCCCGCCUCGGCCUCCCAAAGUGCUGGGAUUGCAGGCAUGAGCCACUGAACCCACCUGAAACUAGAUUUAAAAAACUAACAAGCAAACAAAAAAACAAGCCAAAAAAAAAAAAAAACUUAAAAAGUUAGACAAGGCAGUUAUUUCAAAAGAAGAAAGUGUCAGAGUUUAAGGCCACAAAAGGUUAACUGAGCCUUCUGUUUCAGGAUAACAUAGCAGAAGAUUAUGCAUGAAAUCUUGGCUUGCUUAUCACUCAGAAAGACAAUGAGUAUUUAAUAUAUUUUUAGCUCACAAAAAAUCCUGAUUGUGCAAAACCAUGUGAAAGAGUUACAUAAAUCAGGGGAUCCUCUCCAUUAGAAUUAUUCUGAUAAAUUUCAAUUUCACUAGAAUCUCCUGGAAUAAAUAUUUUGGCAUUUAAAGGAACAGAUCGCAUAAUUCAAGUACAUUGGUCAUGUUUUCAGAUUUCAAUAUUUCCUACAUUGUAGUUAUAAUUCUUUGUUUAUUUGUUUUUGAGACAGAGUCUUGCUGUGUCACCCAGGCUGGAGUACAGUGGCACGAUCAUAGCUCAUUGCAAGCUCAAACUCCUGGGUUCAAAAGAUGCUCCCGCCUCAGCCUCCAGAGAAGGUGGGACUACAGACCCGCACUGCCAUGACCAGUUCAUGUUUUAAUUUUUAGUAGAAACAUAGUCUCACUGUGUUGCCCAGGCUGGUCUUGAACUCCUGGCCUCAGGUGAUCCUCCCUCCUUGGCCUCCCAAAGUGCCUGGAUUACAAGUGUGAGCCACCACGCCCAGCCAUAGCUACAAUUCUUGCUAACAUUCUAUGGGACAAAACCACAUUCAAACCUGUUAGGACAAUGUGGAGUACUCAGUGGUCCUUAAAUAGCAUCAGUGAAAGCUACCUACACCGAGGCUGGUUAGUGAAAGCUACCUAUAUAGAGGCUGGUUAACAACAGUGUUCCUGGGGCUCAGUUAUUGAAGAUAAAGUGAAAUUUCUUAUUCAGUGACAUGCUGGAGCUGCCCACAUCUUUUGCCAGCUCUUGAGUUUAGAAAUAGCACAUUGGUAGCUCAAAAUUAACCUUGACGGAAGUGUUUACACCACCCAAAUCAGCAAAUGCUAUAAAUCCGUGCUUUUUCUUUUUCUUUCUCUUUUAAGAGAAAAUUGAUUCUUAAACAUUUAUCACCACCCCACUAAUGACAUUCCUAAACUCUCUGGUGAAAGCUCCUAGCCCAUAAAACCAUUCCAAAGGUCCAGUAGAGACCAUACAUUGUUCUUCUAAGCUCUGCCCGCAUAUGAAUAUCCCAUCAACACCACAAAUUUGACAAAAUGUGUCUUCCCUCAAACUCUUAGUGAAAAGCAUCACAUUUACCGGCCACAAACUUGGAAACCAUCCUCCAUAACUCCUACUCCUUCCUCAGAUUUCAUCUCAUCUUAGUUCCUCAAAAUCUCUCUAAUUAAACCUCCCUCUCCAACCCUCGUUAGUGGGGUCCUCUUUGUCCCUUCCCAGUCCCUCCUCUUGGACACUCUAAUCCAUCCUCUACAUUCUUGCUGGGCUGAACUUCUUCUUCUUCUUUUUUUUUUUUUUUGAGAUAGGGUUUCACUGUGUUGUCCAGGCUGGAGUGCAGUGGUGCAAUUAUAGCUCACUGCAGCUUCAACCUCCUAGGCUCCAGUGAUCCUCUCAUCUCAGCCUCCCAAGUACCUAGGACUACAGGCAUAAGCCACCAUGCCAAGCUAACAUUUUGUAUUUUUUAAAGAGAUGGAGGUUUGCCAUGUUGACCAGGGUGUUCUCAAACUUCUGGGCUCAAGCGAUCCUACCGUCUUGGCUUCUCAAAGUGCUGGGAUUACAGACAUGAGCCACUGUGCUCAGCUGGGCUGAAUACUUUUUCUUUUCUUUUCUUUUUUUUUUUUUUUUUUGAAACAGAGUCUCACUCUGUUGCCCAGGCUGGAGUGCAGUGGCGCAGUCUUGGCUCACAGCAACCUCCCCCUCCUGGGUUCAAGUGAUGGACUGAAUACUUUUAAAAGCAUGAAGGAGUACACCACUCUCCUGCUUGACAGGCUUCAAUUACUCACCAUCAACUCUGAAAUAAAGUGCAAAUCCCUGGGCACAGUGGAAAAGGCCUUUUAGCAUCUGACUCUGGUCCACCCUCCACAUUCACCUCUUACCAAUCACUCCCUCGCUGUCAACCCCUCACUGAUUAUUGUUUGCCGAACACACCAGGCUCUCACCCUUGUGCCUCUAAUUCAUCCUAAGAGUCAACAGAGGCAUUAUCUACCCCCACAGACCAGCCUUCUUGUAUGCAUGUCUCCAGCCUAGCACUCAACACACCCAGGUUUUAAAUGGGCUUAACAGCCUAUCUCCCUGUCCAGGCUUUGAGCCCCUCGAGGGUCUUUAAUUUCUUUUUAUUCCUAGUACCUAGUUCUGAGCCUUUACAGAGAGGCCACUCCAAUUUGCAAAACAGGACUAGUACCAUUUGUACCUGAGAAGGUUGUUGGAAAGAUUGAAUGAGAUGAUGUAUGCAAGUAUCUGCAGCACGAUUCAUGGCACAAAAUACUGGUUCAUUUGCCCUGGAAAAGACCCCCGACUGAAGAAGAACUGUAUCUCCAUCAUAACCCUAUACUUUCAUCUAGCAAUCUGUAAUUUAAAAAGUUCAUCCAUCAUCCAAAUGGAGGUAGAAGGGAAACUGAUGAAAAUGUUUCAAUUACUGUAUCGUUGAAUUCAAAGAGUUUUUUUUUUCCCAGCUCCUUUCCCUGGUCCAGUAUUUGUUUAUCUGUGAGAAGGUAACCAGGCAUGAUGGGGUCCAUUCAGCUGAUCUUUAAAAUAGACUAUAAAUUCUCUAUUCACAAGAUUUUCGAACUUCUUUUUUAAAGCAGCAGCUCUCCUCUCUCCCCAAAUGCCAUCUUCUUAGAUGUCAGGUUGAACAUGGUGGUUGAAGGCAGUGCUGACCUAAGUAAAGCAGUGUCUAGAACAAUCUACCAGGCCUCCACUCACUGGGCAGUCCCCUGCAGAACCCAGAGGCUCUGAGGAACACACAUUUCAAAAUAAUCCCUCAUUUUACACAUGGGAAAACCAAGGCCCAGAGAGGUACAGAACAUUGCCCAAGGUUCUGGAAUUCAGUAAAGCCAAGCCUAAGAUCCAAGAUUCUUUCCACCACAUCAUAUGGCCUCCUUGGAGUCAAGGCCACAGUUGGUGACCUCAGGACAAAAGGUUGACAUUUCCUACACAUGACCAUUCGUCAUCCAUAAAUACUUAAUCGUACAAAUUUGAGAUAGGCAACUGGAAAUAUCAAUACAUUUAAUCUGUUUCCACUUGAUAAAGGUCAAAUGGAAGAGUAUUAAUAACCAGUCUUCCCUUAAGGGGAAAAAAAUUGUAUUCUCUGGCUGCCAAUAGAGGAACCACCCACCCAUAAGGUGAAUUUGUCAGUUUCUGGAGCAAAAAUAAAGGAAGUAAAAGAACUGCCUUCCUGAUUAUUCUAGAAGUACAGGAUAAGUAGCUCCAUUACUGCCAGGUUAAUGAAGCAUCUACUGGCAAAGAGUAUUCCUGCCACCGCACCCAUUUCCCCCUUCUUCCUUAAUUACAGACCUCUGAUUUUAUUCAGGGUAUCCCAGCUAAAAGACUGUAUUUCCCAGCUUUCUCUAAGAUAGUUAUGACCCCACAACUAAGUUCUGGCCAACGAAAUGUAAAUAGCCAUUGAGUAGAAUUUCUGGUAGGAUUUAAAGCCCUUUAAAGGGGUAUGACCAUUUGCCAUUUUUUUCUUUAUAUUCUCCUUUUCAGAGCCUGGAACUUGGAUGUGAUGGCUGCAGUGACAGCAGCUAUCUUGUUAUUUUGAGGAUGAUACCCUUGUACUAAGUUGUGCUAAGGAUGACAGAGCCCAUAAAGAGAAAAAGCUUCAGUUCCUGAUAAUGUCAUGAAGAAGCCAUCAAGAUAGGCCUGAACUGCCUACCUCUGGCUUUUUUUUUUUUUUUUUUUUUUUUUUGUCAGUCCUACUUACUCUGUCACCCAGGCUAGAGUGCAGUGGUGCAAUCAUGGCUCACUGCAGCUUUGACCUCCCAGACUCAAGCAAUCCUCCUGCCUCAGCCUCCUAAGUAGCUGGGACUACAGGUAUACAUCGUUAUGCCUGGCUAAUUUUUAAAAUUAUUUUUGUAGAGGAGGGGUCUUGCUAUGUUGCCUAGGCUGGUCUUAAACUUCUAGGCUCAAGUGAUCCUCCUGCUUCAGCCUCCCCAAGUGCUGGGAUCACAGGUGUGAGCCACCGUAUGUGUGAGAAUAAACCCUUAUAAUACGUGAGAAAGAAUGUUAUGUGAGAGAGUAAACCCUUACAACAUGAAUUUACAGUAGUUAGACUUCAGCAGCCAAACACAACCCCUAACCUUUACAGACCUUGACCUCAUUGGCAGAAGCUACAGAAGCCAUGCAGAGCUACUCAGGGAGAUGGGGUGACUCUGGGAAAGGAAGCAAUUCAUGGCAUGUCCUCCCCAACUCCUCAUCAGAUUUUCCAGAAUAAUUCUAGACCAGGUUAGAGGAGGGCAAACAUGCAAUCAGAUGAUCAGAAGUCUGACUUAUCAAAGGCAGAAAGAAUAAGCCUGUGAAAGCUGGUGUUAGAGUGACCAGGUUAGCGACCCUGCCUAGCUUCCUCCACUGUAGCUGACCAGGAGAGGGACCCCUUUUUGUACCUCUUCCAGGUUGCUGAAUUCCUGACGCAGGGCUGCCUUCAGAUUAGUGCAUUCUCUCCCACAUCUCAACGCUACCAGGCACUCCUUGGUCAAAUGUGGGACCUAAUCAGAGGACACAGGUUCUCAGUGGAGAAGUCUGUGGAAACUUCCAGUUCCUGUUCUGCCUGAAAAGGCAGCGAAGCUUUAUAACUCCAGCCUAACAGGGCAACACCCACAUCAGACCCCCCAGCUCCCUGUGAGAGGCACUAGGUUUUCUCUGUGGUUCCGGUUCUCAGUAGGAAUCUACUUCUUAUAGUACCCUGGGAAAGCAGGGUGCUUUAGGAGGGUUUCUCCAGUGCUCCUUACUUGAUCAGCUGCUUCCAUGCUAUACAUUCUUAGGUGGGACACUCAACCUCUCUAAGCCUCAGUGUUCUCAUCUGAAAAAUGGAUACGAUAGCAGUACCCACUUCAAAGGGCAGUUGGAUUAAAUGAGUUAGCUCCUACAAAGUAACUAGGACAGUGCCUGGCACAUCAUAAGUGUUCGAUAUAUGUCAGCUGUUAAUAUCAUUGAGGUUUUUAAAAAUUCCUUUUCAAAGACACCAUCUUAAAAUUUCUCCAUUCUUUUUUCUUUCAUUAUCAAAGCUGCCACCAUUUAUCUAUUCUUCACAUUUCCUGGACAGCAGGCACUCUUAUGCUUCUAAAGAGCAUCACUGGCCAGGCACAGUGGCUCACGUCUGUAAUCCUAGCACUUUGGGAGGCCGAGGCAGGCAGAUCACUUGAGGUCAGGAGUUCAAGACCAGCCUGGCCAAUAUGGUGAAACCCCAUCUCUACUAAAAAUACAACAAUUAGGGGGUGUGGUGGCAUGCGCCUGUAAUCCCAGCUACUCAGGAGGCUGAGGCAGGAAAAUUGCUUAAACCCAGGUGGCAGAGGUUGCAGUGAGCCGAGAUGGUGCCACUGCACUCCAGCCUGGGUGACAGAGCGAGACUCCGUCUCAAAAAAAAAAUAAUAAAAAAGCAUCACCUUCUAUGCAUAAUCUUCGCACUCCAUUACUUUUUACCUGAAGCUGGAGAAAUACUCCCUUUAAGGAUCACCAGUUUUCAGUUCUUUCAGUAUUCCUGCUUCAAGUUACACGGUCAUUGCCAUGUCAUAACCAUACCUCCUGAGCCUGCCAGUUGAAAUGGAGAAGCGCCUAGCAGUUAAGCCUUUAAUAUCAGUGGCCAUGCUCUACCCUAAUUCCAUGCUAGCUAAUCUCCUGAGGAUCACAUGGUAUCAAAACAAAACAGUUUCACCAAUGAUUUGGCUUUAAAAUGGGUUGAGGUUUGGGAAAGACAUGCAAAGUAAAAUACAGUGUGAGUGACUUUUUAAAUUGAAUAUACCUUACAAAAUAGCUCCAAUAACAUCUUUUGGCGAGCUCGUUCAUAAGGGUCAUAUGGAAACAGCUUCCUUCCUGGAUAAGCAUCAUCCAGGUUAAUGUUGACCACUUCAUGUC